UCAGGUUUGUUAACUGCGGAGCCUUGAAGGGAACUCCUCUUUAUGCAUCAUUUUUCAUGUACAUUGCAUUCAGUUUUGUCAAAGUCACCCUCACCUUAGAUUCUGGAUUCCAGAGCUUUAUUUUUUGUUUGUUUCGCUUGUAUCUUACUUCAAUCCUGUGCUUUUCAUUCCUCCUCCCCCAUCCUGACCUAAACUAUCAUCAGAAAAUGAUGGAGACCUGAAGACUCAAGUGGAAAAGCUCUGGAGAGAGGUCAACGCCCUGAAGGAAAUGCAAGCCCUGCAGACAGGUGAGACCCCCAUCUCAUCUCAGAUGAGAAAGGAAGAGAUGUUGUGAUUUGCCAUCGAUUCAAACCAUAUCGAGAGUACACGUCAAGUUCUAGGUAACUUUUUUUUUUUUUUAAGAGACCCUGGCAAACCAGAUGAAAGGAUCCAAAAGCUAGGGAGACAGGUGUUUUGAAAAAUCAGCUUGAUUUUCCCACUCCCUUCUCCUGUAAAUGGGUGGCACAGAAAUAAAAUCAGGCAUUUCAAUAACGCAUGUAGAAAGUUUGUCUGCUGAAAAAAAAAUUAAAAAAUGAAAAGUCUAUCCACAAUUAUUUUUUAACGGGCAAUGAAACGAAAUCAAAGCAAGUAUGAAAUAAUUAAAUAUUAAAAUAGUCAGCAUUCAUUAGAUGUUUAUUAAGUGCCCACGGGGAGAUCUGCCGAAGUUAAAAUGAGCACAGACAGGGAGGGUUCCCACGACUGGCUCCAGCCACACUGGCUGUCAAACGCCUGCAGAAGAGCAGUGGUUAGAACCACUGCUUGCCAGCAGAGGGCAGCAUCCAGCGUUCCUUCUCCCCCAGAGUACAGCUCCCAGAGCCCAAUGCAGCUGUACCCACCGCUGUCCAAGAGCCACUGGGCGGGGUUUCCCAGCAGCCAGGAAAUGAGAGCCACACUGGUAGGUUCAGAAACAUCGCUGGAUUGCAAAGUUCACACCCUCAGGAACGAAAACUCUCACAGCAACUCCAAAAGCAGAGCUAUGAGGGUCCCUCAAGGGAACCGCCCAAUUACAAGAGUUACUGCCUUCAAGAAAGACCCAUCGAGUCUUUAGAACUCCCAGGCCAGCUGUACGUUACAGAUCCUGUGUCAUUUUUACGUCUGUCUGCGGGGCACCAAGGUCCACAAGAAGUGCUACCUUGCUUCAGAAGCUUCGAAGCACUUCCACGAAGCCAACGAAGACU
This is an RNA transcript of Sus scrofa (pig), 1217 nucleotides long. It is a transcript of the gene named C-type lectin domain family 3 member A, with no coding region annotated. Lineage: Eukaryota; Metazoa; Chordata; Mammalia; Artiodactyla; Suidae. The record is from RefSeq and is a predicted model, not a curated record.